Long non-coding RNA from Manduca sexta (tobacco hornworm), 491 nucleotides. RefSeq lists it as uncharacterized. The record is from RefSeq and is a predicted model, not a curated record. The transcript has 3 exons. Lineage: Eukaryota; Metazoa; Arthropoda; Insecta; Lepidoptera; Sphingidae.
UCAAUUUCAAAAAGUAUUAUUCCAAAGAGUUCGAGCAAUGACGGCGCUUCCAAUAUAGAUUUGUCUUACGGAGUCCCAAGCUCUUCAGAUUACUCUGAAGGAUUUAGUGACUUUGGUGCGAGGGUAUCAGAAUAUAUAGGGUCAUCAAAGUCAUUGUCCCAGAAUUAUGGUGCGCCAAGUGCUUUGAAAACGAAUGCUGUGGCAUCAUCGUAUUCUUCAGUUAGAUCGCCCUCCUCGACUUACGGGGCACCUUCCACUCGUGAUGCAGCACCUUCCGAAGCAUACGGAGUCCCUGAACAGUACAAUGCUAGAUCCAGCCAGGGUUACGAGUAUGCAAGAGCUGGUGAUGAGGAUAAUCAGGAGCCGGCCAACUACGACUUCAACUACAAAGUGAAUGACUACAUCACGGGAAGCGAUUUUGGGCACAGCGAGACACGCCAAGACAACAGAGCUGAAGGGACCUAUUUUGUAGUCUUACCCGAUGGUACUAA